Molecule: ribosomal RNA, 237 nt
Filed under: uncultured Candidatus Saccharibacteria bacterium
Lineage: Bacteria; Candidatus Saccharimonadota
Description: partial 16S ribosomal RNA
Rfam family: Bacterial small subunit ribosomal RNA
Source: RNAcentral
AUAAGUGAAUAGUGAAAUCUGGCGGCUCAACCGUACAGGCUAUUAUUCAAACUGUAUAACUCGAGAAUGGUAGAGGUAACUGGAAUUUCUAGUGUAGGAGUGAAAUCCGUAGAUAUUAGAAGGAACACCAAUGGCGUAGGCAGGUUACUGGACCAUUUCUGACACUAAGGCACGAAAGCGUGGGGAGCGAACGGGAUUAGAUACCCCGGUAGUCCACGCCGUAAACGAUGGAUGCUA